Columba livia (rock pigeon) is the source of this 2279-nucleotide long non-coding RNA. RefSeq lists it as uncharacterized. Lineage: Eukaryota; Metazoa; Chordata; Aves; Columbiformes; Columbidae. The transcript is spliced from 7 exons. The record is from RefSeq and is a predicted model, not a curated record.
GGGGAGGAGAAUGGGGCGGACCCGCAGGUGCCGCCCCUCCUGCUCUGACAGCGGGGAGGGAGAGGGACCGGGCAGGGGGCGGUGAGCGAGGGACCGGGCGGUGGCGGCGGGGGAGCAGCGCUCAGAUAAUGAGAUUUUCCAUCAAAAAAUGAGAAGGAAAAAACUGUCCCUACCUUCUGGAGAAAAUGGAGAUGGCCCAGCGAUGGUGUGGCACUGCAGUACUGCUGCUCAGUCCAGAAAUGAGAAACAGAGCUUGUAGGGUGGUUUCAUCUGUACCAUCUGUGGGCCAUAUUGCACAUCAGAUGGCAGGAUAAAAUCUGUAACAAGAACGUUUUGGGACAGAAAAGUCUUUCAGGGUUUGAAGCCUUGAUAUUCACAACACAAUUGCGCAGAGCCACUCAUGUAUCCAAAACAGAAGACGCAGAAUGCCAAAGCAGCUGCUGGAGUGAAAUAAAUGAGAGACCACACAAUUUGGACAACCUACAGAUAAGGCAGUGCAAAAGGACUACCCCUUUUUAGUACUGUCAGAGCUACUGUGAAAAAGCCCAAGUGCUGUCAAAAGCAUAUCUCCCUCUCAGCCUUCAGUAGGCAAAUCUCUGAGCCUACAGAGCUGCCUGCUCCCAUAUUUAUACAUUUCCCAUCUUCAGAAGAAGAAUUUAUGGAUUUAUGUGAAUGCAGAGAUGGCUUGGCUCGUUCUCCCGAAGCACAGAAAGAAAGGAAAAAAAAAGGGCAAGUGAAGUGCUGUGUUGUCUGUGUGCCUACAAACCUCCUUGCAAAAAUAAAUGUGUCGAUUGUGGCUCCAGCUGGGGUGGGAAUUUUCAGUGUUCUGAGACAUCUUGACUCUUGGUGCUUGGGUCCUCUCUACAUGUGCUGUGAUCAUCAGCAUCAGGAACUUGAACAAUGUGCAAAAGGAAACUUGAAAAUCACAAGGCUUUGAGCUUUUCACUUCCAGAUGUAGUUGAGGGUAGGAGGAAAAGUGUAUCACUUGUGAAUAGAAGACUUGAGGAAGGAGUCCAGUGCUAUCAGCAAAUCGGAGUUGAAAGCAGACAGAUACUAGGAGUGGUUUAUAAAAUCCUUCAAGAGAUGCUACUAGAGAGGGAACCAGAAAUUACUAAAAUUGGCAUGAGAAGAUCAGCAUGAAAUGGAGAUAAGUAAACACAAUGAUCAUUAAAGUACUGGUCAAAAUAGAGUCUACUUCUAUUUUAUCACUUUGGUCAACUACCUGGUCAUUUAACUACCCACUGACUGGGAGAACAAUGUUGCUGCUCAAAUCUUAUCUGGUUUCACUGGAGACGAGUUGCUGAGCAACCAGUUAGACCAAGAGCACGCCAAAGAAUGUAAAUGCCUCCUCCCUGCAAAGAAGUUUGGUCUUCAUCGCAUCGCCAUCAAGUAUACUGCCUUCUCCUGUAAACACCAGUUGACACUUGCCUAUUGGGGGACAAGAAGGGAAAUUCCACCAUGGCAUUAGGAACAAAAAAGAGCCUUUCAAGAUUGGUUGCCCAGAGGGACUGAGGAAUCUCCACCCUUGGCAUAUUUACAACUUGACUGGAGAAGACCCUGAGCAGCAUGUGCAAACUCAGCCUCGUUUGGAGCAGGGUGCUGGAGCAGGUGCCCUCCAGUGGUCCCUUUUUCUGUCAUCAGUACUGCCUCAGUAAAAAGAAUGGACAUGGCCUUUUUUAGGUGUUUUUAACUUCUGAGUAUCAUAGGUUGUGGUGCUGUAGCUAACACUAAAAAAUAACGCAGUGGUGAGGUGUUAAGAUACAGGUAGCUGACAUACACCUAAACUCACACACAGCGACACAGGCAAGCGUUGUGGGAAAGCAGUCCAACAGCAAAAUAUGAGGAAGGAGAGGGGGGUGCUUGCAGUUGAGGAAACUGUUGGAAAAAGCAUUAAUUCCUGUUCCUGCCAGAUUUUGUUUCCAAGAUGUUAGAACUGAGCCCCUGUAGCAAACCAAGCAAGAGCUCUGAAUUAACAGCAGGUAUUAUAAGCAGCGCUGAGAGCUGGUUGUACAACUCAUGUACUUGCUAAACCCUUUAUUGCUGCACCUCCUUUCCAAGAAGUGCCAGAAGGACAAAAUAAAUUCUCUCCCCUGAAUGGGGGAAACUCCAUCAAGUCAUUUAGUCUGGCAUUUUCAGAAGUCCAGUAAAAGAAACAGUCUUGCAUUUAUCCUCAGUAAUAUAUAAGGUUUUACAUGUUUAAGAUAACUCUGCUUGGGGACAUUUCUACCGCACCUAUAUAGAGCAACUAAUACAUCAUUAAAAUAACUUUGUUCGUGUAA